RNAcentral lists this long non-coding RNA (159 nucleotides) under Pan troglodytes (chimpanzee). RNAcentral describes it as "lncRNA (ENSPTRG00000053044.1)". The record is from RNAcentral. Lineage: Eukaryota; Metazoa; Chordata; Mammalia; Primates; Hominidae.
AUGAAACACAAGGGAAGGAAGACCAGAGUUCCAACUUACUGUGUGGCUUUAAUGAAAAAAGCAAGUCUUGCAGUUUGGUGGGAGAGAGUAUGCAGUCACCAACAUGGCAUGAAUUUAGGAGUGAAUAAACGAAAGAAAAGAAAAAACCCUAUUAUUUAG